This 368-nucleotide long non-coding RNA is filed under the name Androctonus crassicauda. Lineage: Eukaryota; Metazoa; Arthropoda; Arachnida; Scorpiones; Buthidae. The record is from RNAcentral.
GAAAAGUGAAGUCAGAUCAGCAGAGGACAUUCAUUAAUUAUUGAGUUAAAUACACCCCUCUAACCGCAGGAAAUCUUUUAUCUGCAACAGCGGAUGCUGGAAGAUUAUAUAUGAGUCAAAAACGGAAAGAAGGGGUCGAACGCGAGAAGUUGAAGGAAGAAGGUAGCAGCCAAAAAGUCGGGGACAGAGUAGCGCGAAAAAGUCAGGAAGAGAGUAGAACAACAAAGCUUGCCAUCAGACUUAUAGUUUCAAGAAGUGAUACCAGAUCACCGAUCUUAUUUCUUUGGUGUAUUAGUGAUUGUGGUUGUAUGAACUAAAGACUGUGCCACCACAUACUGGACUAAAGACUGUGUGUUGUAUAACACAAG